Long non-coding RNA from Oncorhynchus tshawytscha (Chinook salmon), 326 nucleotides. Lineage: Eukaryota; Metazoa; Chordata; Actinopteri; Salmoniformes; Salmonidae. The record is from Ensembl.
UGAAUACAACAGGUGUAGUAGACCUUACUGUGAAAUGCUGAAUACAACAGGUGUAGUAGACCUUACAGUGAAAUGCUGAAUACAACAGGUGAAGUAGACCUUACAGUGAAAUGCUGAAUACAACAGGUGUAGUAGACCUUACAGUGAAAUGCUGACUACAACAGGUGUAGUAGACUUGAAUACAACAGGUGUAGUAGACCUUAGUGAAAUGCUGAAUACAACAGGUGUAGGUAGACCUUACAGUGAAAUGCUGAAUACAACAGGUGUAGGUAGACCUUACAGUGAAAUGCUGAAUACAACAGGUGUAGGUAGACCUUACAGUGAAA